CAGGAAAAGCAUCGACACCAGAUAACUCAAGAUCACGCUCAUGCAUAAGAGAAUUAGUAAACUGUACAGGAUUAGAAAUUGGCCCAUGCGAAACAUUAUUUGCUUGCGGCCCAAACUCAUAAGGACAUCCAUAAAGCCCAUAUUCAGCCGGUCUACCAGUACUAGCAUUAGGCCUAAAAUCAGUAACACGCGAGCCAUGCUCAUUUGGUCUACCAACAGCAGUAGCAUGCAGCCCAAAUGACGAUUCUAGCCCAGGCGCGAAUGGAAGAGGGACAUGGCCAGGCCCAACAUGCAGACCAGACCCAUCUAUGCACCCAAAACCAUCACCAACACUAGUGAAGGGAUUAGC
Molecule: long non-coding RNA, 349 nt
Filed under: Gossypium barbadense (sea-island cotton)
Lineage: Eukaryota; Viridiplantae; Streptophyta; Magnoliopsida; Malvales; Malvaceae
Description: long non-coding RNA (GBAR_LNC019796)
Source: RNAcentral